Molecule: long non-coding RNA, 4520 nt
Organism: Ooceraea biroi (clonal raider ant)
Lineage: Eukaryota; Metazoa; Arthropoda; Insecta; Hymenoptera; Formicidae
Source: RefSeq, a predicted model, not a curated record
CAAAACAAAGUAGAAGACAAAUUACGCCGCUCUCUCAGUGGCUUAAUCAAUUUAUGGCGGUGCGGGUUAAACCGCGUAGUUAAUUCCCUCGUGCGCGGACGUCUGCGAACGAGGAAACGCGUCGUUAGCAGAGCGUUCUUUAAAUUACGUGCAGAAUACGAUUCGGUCGGGUCGAGCAAUUGUUGCAAUUGAUCCUUGUGCAGAGGUUAUCGAAACGAUUAAACGACCAUGUUACUAUAAUCGUCUGUAUGGCGCAUCGUGCAGUGUGUAAUAAAUAAGUAACGUCGUUAUCUAAAAGUGUCUGAUUAAGACCAUUACGGUCAAGGAUUUUAAAUCAAUAAAAGAAGCAGACACGAUUAAGCGCGAGAUUAAUAUAGAUAUGCAUCUCGCUGCAAGCUAGAUUUAUACAUAAUUGUAAUGCGAUUUCAUGUAAAGAGAGAUUUGACAUAAAAAUUUUUAUUUUAGAAUUACCUAUAGAAUUUAAUUUAGAAUUACUAAUAAUUUAGAAAGCCCUACUUAGCUUGUUAAAAACUGCAAGACUAAAGGUACCUCUCCUACCUAAACAAUAAUUUUUGCCGAGAAAAAAUCGGCUCCGAGUUGAUCCGAGAAUUCAUAGACGAAAGGUAGUUCAUUCACGUCCAUUCCCUAGUAUGCCUCGUGUAAUAACGGCUACACGCAUACGCGGCCUGAUGGGCCCGGUCAUGACGUCACGGACGGGGAGCCUUCGACCUCGUGUCGCGUACAUAUCGCUGACACUUGGGUUACUUCAGCUCGUCUCGCACUUGACACGGCCCAUUAUCAUCCACCGGCGUAUCCAUCUAUUAUCUAGCCGCGACUAUCCAUCCAUUAUACCCCGUACGGUCAGCGCGUCCCCGAAGCACCGCGUCUCGCAGCCGUUCAAUUAAUUCCCCGAGCAGUAUGUUAUAGUUCGCCCGUUCGCUGGAGAUGAGACUGGGCGUCGUGACGCGAGUUUCGUGACGCGAGUUUCGGGACGCUCGUCUCAAAUGUAGAAGCCGGAAGGGCGUGGUGACCAUUCGUUAAUGUUGAAAAAAGAAUCGGGAGUUGAAUCUUGCGAAAAUUGCUGUUUGCGCGUCGCGGGGUGCGUUGCAACGUGCAGGAAGUUGGCGCGAGAAACCUGUGGUCCCGGCCAAAUAUUUAAAGCCGACGGGGUAGGCCGCGGGAGAAAUAUUUGUUUUCCGAUACGAGAGCAACCAGUUCGCGCGCUCUCUCUCUCUCUCGCUCGCUCGUGUGUAUGCGCGACGCUGGUAUUUUACGACUUCGAGCGCCGUGCAUCCGACCCGCGAGAAUGGACGGUGGACGGCAAAUAACACAGCAAAAAGCGAACGUUUGGGAGCGGAGACGCUGUUUUCAGACUGGAUAACACGCGCGCGAGUGUCUGGGAUCCUUUACGUUCCAGGCGCGUUUAGCGUAGGGUGGAUAAGUAGAUAGGCGCAUCAGUAGUCCUCCACGUGCGCGCGCGCAUACUGCCGAGUGCUGCAAAAGUUCUGAAGAAGCUCCUAAGACGCAAAGUUCGAAGGCGAUCGUUCGCUGCAACGAUAACGGAUAUUGGAUUAAGUCGCUGAUGAGUUCCUGCUGGUUCCCUCUCGCUGUGUUCUUUUUACACGAACAUGUAAAUACUUGAGCAGUCGUCUUGCAGUCGUCUUGAGAGUCGUCGAACGGUUAGUCGUACGUGCUACAUAGGAUUUAACUGAUCUUGCAAUUUCUGCGACAGAUUCGUGGCACCGCACCGGUUCGAGCAAAGCAGGAUCGGCUCGAAGAUAAGUUCACAAAUUUAUUUUAUACCUGUAUAUUUCUUUGCAGAUUUGCGGAGUCCUGUAGGAAUUACGAACAAACCGAUCUAGUAAUAUUUAGUUAUGAUAGAUGGCAGGAGUUUUCCUAUUGAUGUGAUAUCGAUUGAUUGAAUUGAUUCCGUUAUACUUUUGUUUUCUCGAUGCGCGGUCGACGAUGGAAGAAUCCACCCAGUCGAGUAGAAGUUCCUCGGCGUAGAGAGUUAUCUUUUAAGUUGUCCUUACGUUAUGUAUAUUUGACAAAUAUAUAUUAUAAAUUGUAAACUUAUCUGUAUUCUCUCGUAAUAUCAUCCAUCAAGUCUAAAAUGUACUCAUUAAAUUAAUUCAAGUCGCGACGUAACACUGCAAAGAUUUAACAUUUUAUAUAUGUAUUUAUUUAUGAAAUGUAUUUCUGAAAAUCGGCUUUAUUUUUUAAUCGGCUUUUAAUCAUUUUUGUUUCAGAGUAGCAGAAUGCAGUCGCUCCUAAAACGCAACUGCUCGAAUUCAUGGAGGGAACAUAUCUUCACGCCAAGAAAUCGGUUGGGCUACACGAGCACUGCCUUGGGUGCUCAGACGUUGAUGGAAGUUUCUCCUUACAAGGCGAGAGGGAGAUCCUUUUUCUUCUCAAAGUAUCACCUCGAGGAUCGGACGCGGGGCUCGUUCCCCUUCAUCGGAGCGGACGAGAAGUGGCCGCAGGGGUGAAAUCGGAACGCGUGCGUAAGAGCGAUCGCGCCGGGAAAUUAGCGAAAACGGCGCACGAGCUACUCUCACCGAGACCGAGAGUGAACAGGAUACGACUCAAGAGAGAAAGAGAGUAUAUAUGUGUGUGUGUAAGGGGCGUUCUGACGAGAGUCCAGAUUUGUCCCCGGGGGGUGCUCACGAAGGGGCAAAUUUCGACCGUCCGUUAACUCCGUUCGCCCCGUUGCGAUAUUCCGAAUCUCCCGCUACCACGCCCGAGAACAUGGAGCGUCCAGAGCCGUGAUUUCGAUAGACUGGGAAGAGCGAUGGACGAUUACGUGAUCGGAUUACUUGGAUGCUCGACUCGCCACCUCGUCGACCGAGGUACACGACCGGAAAGUACAUCGUGAGGACGAAGUCGAACGUCACCGUCGCCGUCAUGGUGCGACGUGCCGCGGAAACGAGAACAGCACAAACGGAUACGUUAAAAGAGAUGUAUGAUACAAAGGUACGCUCAAAAAACGAACAGAGACGUCGAAAUUCAUGUCGGUAAAAUAUUUUAUACUACUUUUUUUAAAUGUCAGGAGAAAGGAGAUUUUUGGAGAUCAGAGAGUCAGUCUUUUCUUCGCUCGCAUUUCCUUUAUUUUAUACAUAUACUAUACAUAUUUAUUCAAUAUAUUAUAUAUUCGUUUCUUUUUACGUCACCCAAGAAAAGAUGAAAAAUCCUACAUACGAGGUAUUCCAGUUUUUCGGCGGAAUAACUAGAACUAUGGAAGAUCAUGGAAACACAUGCAUAGAGAAGAGCCAUAAUUCUAAGGCGAUUAUCACAACGGAUUAUCUCGGCGUCUUGGUAGCGCUAAUCGCGACAAAUCUGUCGCCGGUCCGGCAUUCCUUCCCUCCUACCGACUCCACUUCCGCGAGAUUAUUAUCUCAUUCCGUUAGUUGGCGGCACCUCAUUAUCGCCGGAAAUAAAUCUGUCAUCCUCGCUUAAUCGAGCGUCUCCGUCGAAUUUCGACUGUCGACUACCUGUUCCACCAGCUAUACAGACGAUCACCCUUCUAUCCCCAGGUUUUUUUUCAGAAAAAGCAGUUUUUAUCGAGGAUAAAUUACGAGAUGAAAGAUUCAUAUAUUUUCUUUUGCUAUUAUUGGAGGGAUAUUCUAUUGGAAAACAUGUUUUUAUUUUGAUGAGAAUAAAAUGCAAAUUCAAUUUCAAAAUCGAUAUGUUACCAUUUCUAUUAUCGAUAAUAUUUGUCUAGCAGUUAAUUACUUGAUCGAUAUUACAGUUGUUAGCGUUUUUAUCAUGAAUUACCUAUAACUGGUGCUUUUGUUGAACAUACGCAGCCGUACGCAUUUCAUAAAUAAUAAUGUUUCUCCUCAUAUUGAAUUCCUUCAUAAAUUAUUUUGCAUAAACCGAUAGCUCGCACCGUCAUGCUUCUCGUGGAAUAUCGGCGUAUAUUUUUUCUGCAGUUUUAAUACCUUAGCCACCAAAAUUUUCUGUAAAAAGCUCGCAACCUCUCGGUAACGUCCUUCGCUUCUAUUCAAGUAAUCGUGAAAUUUUCGCCAAAUUUAUGUCGCGAAUUCUUUUGAGAAACACGUGCUCUAUACGUGAUCAGUCAAAUAACGCAAUAUCGUAGCCACGUGUAGGCGUAUUUGUAAACACGAACGAUGGGUAACAUACGACGCUCGUAAAUUUAUCAGAGCGUUUGUGCCAUAAAUUUUCAGAGUAAACGCGGUCCAUCAUCCCGAUCUGCCUUGCGCGGGCACUUGUGGUAGGAAUUCGCACCUACUGAUUGGACGGAAACUCGGGAGACAAACUGCCAUGACGGUGAUCAAGGGGUUCUCGGGAUGUUACCAUCGAAUGUGUUUAUUGUCUUAACAUCGUUAUUAAUUUGUGUCAACACGUGCAAUGGCUAUUUUGCAGUAAUUGACUAUAUUUCAAGAGAAUAUCAUCAUUAGACAAUGCACAAAUAAAUAUAUGUUUCUAUAAAGCGUAUUUUCGAUAAUUGGCCACAUUAUAAUCAAUUGCCUAAAAAUAUAAGAAAUUUUUAAUUUAAA